Molecule: ribosomal RNA, 488 nt
Filed under: uncultured bacterium
Lineage: Bacteria
Description: bacterial SSU rRNA
Rfam family: Bacterial small subunit ribosomal RNA
Source: RNAcentral
AUUGAACGCUGGCGGCAGGCCUAACACAUGCAAGUCGAGCGGAUGAAGAGAGCUUGCUCUCUGAUUCAGCGGCGGACGGGUGAGUAAUGCCUAGGAAUCUGCCUGGUAGUGGGGGACAACAGUUGGAAACGACUGCUAAUACCGCAUACGUCCUACGGGAGAAAGCAGGGGACCUUCGGGCCUUGCGCUAUCAGAUGAGCCUAGGUCGGAUUAGCUUGUUGGUGAGGUAAUGGCUCACCAAGGCGACGAUCCGUAACUGGUCUGAGAGGAUGAUCAGUCACACUGGAACUGAGACACGGUCCAGACUCCUACGGGAGGCAGCAGUGGGGAAUAUUGGACAAUGGGCGAAAGCCCGAUCCAGCCAUGCCGCGUGUGUGAAGAAGGUCUUCGGAUUGUAAAGCACUUUAAGUUGGGAGGAAGGGCAGUAAGUUAAUACCUUGCUGUUUUGACGUUACCGACAGAAUAAGCACCGGCUAACUUCGUGCCAG